UACGUAGGGUGCGAGCGUUGUCCGGAAUUAUUGGGCGUAAAGAGCUCGUAGGCGGUCUGUCGCGUCGGUCGUGAAAACUUGGGGCUUAACCCUGAGCUUGCGGUCGAUACGGGCAUGACUGGAGUUCGGCAGGGGAGACUGGAAUUCCUGGUGUAGCGGUGAAAUGCGCAGAUAUCAGGAGGAACACCGGUGGCGAAGGCGGUUCUCUGGGCAUGUCCUGACGCUGAGGAGCGAAAGUGUGGGGAGCGAACAGG
This 254-nucleotide ribosomal RNA is filed under the name uncultured bacterium. RNAcentral's name for it is "partial 16S ribosomal RNA". It matches the Rfam family "Bacterial small subunit ribosomal RNA", at positions 524 to 776 of the family's 1533-position model. The record is from RNAcentral.